UACGUAGGGUGCGAGCGUUAAUCGGAAUUACUGGGCGUAAAGCGUGCGCAGGCGGUUUUGUAAGCCAGAUGUGAAAUCCCCGGGCUUAACCUGGGAAUGGCAUUUGGGACUGCAAGGCUCGAGUGCGGCAGAGGAGACUGGAAUUCCUGGUGUAGCAGUGAAAUGCGUAGAUAUCAGGAGGAACACCGAUGGCGAAGGCAAUCCCCUGGGCCUGCACUGACGCUCAUGCACGAAAGCGUGGGGAGCAAACAGG
This 253-nucleotide ribosomal RNA is filed under the name uncultured bacterium. Its description in RNAcentral is "partial 16S ribosomal RNA". It matches the Rfam family "Bacterial small subunit ribosomal RNA", at positions 524 to 776 of the family's 1533-position model. The record is from RNAcentral.